UCUCUCUCUCUCUCUCUCACACACACACAUACUCCCCCACACACCAUUCUAUCAGUUCUGUUCCUUAGAGAACCGUAACUAACACAGAGAGAUGUGACUUGUUGCAAAAAUAUUUUGUAUCUCUUAUGGCAUUUUCAAGACUUGAUUCUCUCUCUCUCAGAGUUUCCAGAACAAAGAGGAAGUAUUGUAUCUUUUUGGAGAAUACCUUUAAAAAUAUGUAUAUGGGUAUUCUGCCUGCAAGUACGUCUGUGUAUUAUUUGCCUGUGCUUGGUGUCCAGGGAGGCCAGAAGAGGGUGUUAAAUCCCACUGGGACUCAAAUUAUAGAAGCUUGUAAGCUGCCAUGUGGGUGAUGGGAAUGGAACCUGGGUCCUCUGAAAGAACAGCCAGUGCUCUAAACCUCAGAGCCAUCGCUGCUCCAGCCUGCAGAGUACCUAUUCAGUAUUUUUUUCAGAUCACAUUUGUGUGUGUGUGUGUGUGUGUGUGUGUGUGCCACCCCCUUUUCAGAGGAAAACUUGCCAGAGUCAGUUUUCUCCUUCUUCUGUGUGAAUCCCAGGGAUUGAAUUCAGGUUGCUAGUCUUGGUGGCAAAUGCCUUACCCAUUGGAACCUCUCAAGGCCUUAUUUUACUUAUGUUUUUGUUAAAUUAUUUGUCAGUAAAUUGUGGAGCUCAUAAUACUAUCAGAAAUAUUUCCCAAGAACAUUAAAUAUGUGAGCCUUCAAAUCUAGACAAUUUUAUACCGAUGUAAGGGUAUUAUUAUGUAUGUAAUCCAUAUUCAAACUUGGCCAAUGACCCAAAUCUGUUCUUCUAGUCACUGUUUCUGUUUAUCCAUUCUGGGGAUCCCAUAUUGCAUUUGGGUGUCAUGUUCCUUCACUCCUUUUUGGUCGGCACCCAAUUCUAGAUCUUUCUUUAUAUUUCAUGACUGAUGUUUUUAAAGGCAUAGAUGCCUUAUUUGGUAAAAUAUUCCCCAAUUUAAGUUUAUCUGAUUAUUUCCUUACAAUUUACUUUCAGUUACACAUUUUCCCAGGAAUGCCACUAUGUGUUUUCUGGUGCCACGUCACAGGGGGUGUGCAAUGUCAAUUUGAACAUUUCACAGACAUCAAAUGUUCAGCAAAGUAUAAUGACACAUAUGAAGAUACCAUGAUAAAAAUCAUUACUUUGUGUGCUGACCCAAAAAAUUAAUUUAACAAUUUGUUUAAUUGUUUUACUUUUUAUAGUUCAGUGAUGGCUCUGGAGUGUUUCUUAGAGAAGCCUUGGAAGCUGUAUCUUCUGAAACAACGGUCACGGCCCUGCCUCUGUUUCUCAGAAAGCAAUUACUGAUUCCUCUUUCCAGUCCUUAUCACGAAAGGAGAGUGCGGAUGUGCUUGAGGGUUUAAAUAUCUCGGGGGCUUCUCUGUGAGGCCUUGCAAUCAGGAGGGUUCAAUUAUGCUGGGAGUCUGCGGGCACUAAUUAAUCAUCCUUCCUCAACUACAGCCUCUCGCCAUCACAGAACCAGAGAGCACUGCAGAAUGCCUUUACAGCCGGUGAUGCCAGAGGGUGUGGCCGGGAACUCUCCCCGCCCUUCCAGGGCUGCCUUUGCCAUUCUCAGCCCUCACUGGAAAGGUUCCCAUCAGGCCUGCCCGAGGAAGGCCCAGUUGUGUGUUUACUGACUGUGGGAGGCGAUCAUCCGUGUGGCCGCUUACGCGCAGCUCUGACCAGACAGGCUGAGUGCACACGAGAGGGCCCAGGGUGAAGCUGGCUUCUGCUUCCCAGAGUGGCCCUGCAUUCUGAGUCAUGUGUCCUAAGCCAGCCUGCUCAUCCAGUGUUACUAGCCCAUGGAAAGGAGCCAAUGAGAAGAGAGAAAGCACAGGCUCUAACACUCUGCCCUAGAGGUUGAGAGUAAGGACUUGAAGCCACUCUUGCUAUUCAGCUUUCGUGUUUGCUUUCUGUGUUGAGCCAAGAAGGAGUGAAGAUGGGAAGCCAGCUUAAAGUUUGAUGCUAGAGCUGCCAUACCGUGGCUGGAGAUCUACAGCUGGAGAGUAGGAAGUGAAGGAAAGAAAGGAGACACUGCUCAGCAUAUUAAUGGGACACGUGACUUGCCGAGAGCAGCAGCUGGAAACACAGGAGCAGAAACACGGGUUCCUCCCCAGGUUCAACUGGUACCUCUGAACUUCACGUUCCUCCCUGCAGGCUGGAUCAGCCCCUGGGCAUUAAACUCUCCUCCCCAUGACAAUGACACCCACAGUUACACCUCUUGUUCUGGCAUCUCCGCCUGGAUAGCCCUCUCUCCAUCAUCAAAAUGGCCUCAGCUCCACUCCCCACCCCACCGCGUCCCUUGCCCCACGCCACUUCACCUUCUCUGUGCCAGACACACAAGCUGCUCAAGCCCCAGGUCCACUGUCAUCCUCCACUCCUUUCUUAAAAACAAUUUUGAGAGUUUAGGAAUGAAAAACUAAAACACACAGAACACCCUGUUAUGUGUACAGGUGUUUUGCUUGCGUGUAUGUCGGCCUGCCGUGUGUAUUGCCCAUGGAGGCCAGAAGAGGGCGCCAAGUGACAUGGAGCUGGAGUUAUGGAGGAUUAGCUACCAUGUAGAUCCUGAGAGUUGAACCUGGGUCUCUGAAGGAGCAGCCAAUGCUCUUAACUUCUGAACCAUCCCUCCAGGCCCCUGCAUUCCUCCUUAUCUUACCCCUCACAUCACUUUCACUGCAAGUCCCAGUCCAGCCCUGGUCGUUCUCUUUUUACUACUGUCUUCUCUCUUUUGGACUGCUGCUGGAAGUCCCUGUGGUCAUUCCCACUUCCCCUGUCUCCCAACAGUCUCACAGAUCAGCCCAUGGGAGGCUUUCAACCAUGUGUCAAUAGUGAUUCCCCUGCUGGAACCCCUUUCACUCCUUCCCAUCGCCUGAGCUUGAAGUCUGAAUUCCUUCCCAGGAAGGGAAGUUGGGCUGCUGGCUUCUCUAGCCUAUCACCUAGGAACUUCCAACUUCUCUUCUUUUGCUUAUUUUCUUUCUGGGGCAAUGCACUGCUUUCCCAACUUGUCUCUGGCAUUUGCUGUUUCCCAUGUCUAGAAUGUUCCACUCCACAGCCUUCCUGAGCCCUGUUGUCCGUCAGUGGCUCGAAGAGCUGCUCCUAACCGGGCUGUACCGUGCCUUCUCACGCAACAAUUCUCUCCUUUUGCAACUCUGUGAGCGAUACCCGGGGUCAUUUUGCUCUUGUGCUGUUCCUUGCGUUUCUAAAGUCCCGGCAGACAGCUUCCCACUUAACCUUGAGCGUGGAAGGGAAGUGAUAAAGUGAACACUUUCUAAGGAUUUUACGUGGGUGAAGAGACACUGACUGCAUGCACCUCCAUGAACACACACUUCAGGAGAGACACACGCAGAGGUGCCCUAUCAUUAUUCAUAGAAUAAAUGAUUGAUCAAA
Molecule: long non-coding RNA, 3395 nt
Organism: Mesocricetus auratus (golden hamster)
Lineage: Eukaryota; Metazoa; Chordata; Mammalia; Rodentia; Cricetidae
Exons: 2
Source: RefSeq, a predicted model, not a curated record